GAUGAACGCUGGCGGCGUGCCUAAUACAUGCAAGUCGAGCGAACAGACGAGGAGCUUGCUCCUCUGACGUUAGCGGCGGACGGGUGAGUAACACGUGGAUAACCUACCUAUAAGACUGGGAUAACUUCGGGAAACCGGAGCUAAUACCGGAUAAUAUAUUGAACCGCAUGGUUCAAUAGUGAAAGACGGUUUUGCUGUCACUUAUAGAUGGAUCCGCGCCGCAUUAGCUAGUUGGUAAGGUAACGGCUUACCAAGGCAACGAUGCGUAGCCGACCUGAUAGGGUUAUCGGCCACACUCGAACUGAGACACGGUCCAGGCUCCUACGCGAGGCACCAGUAGGUAAUCUUCCGCAAUGGUCGAAAGCUUGACAGAGCAAACCCGCGUGAGUGAUGACGGUCUUCCGUUCUUAGAACUCUGUUAUUGGGGAAGAACAAAUUUGUAAGUAACUAUGCCCGUCUUGACGGUACCUAAUCAGAAAGCCUCGUCUAACUACGUG
RNAcentral lists this ribosomal RNA (497 nucleotides) under uncultured bacterium. RNAcentral describes it as "partial 16S ribosomal RNA". It matches the Rfam family "Bacterial small subunit ribosomal RNA", at positions 28 to 507 of the family's 1533-position model. The record is from RNAcentral.